UUCACUUCUCGGCCUUUUGGCUAAGAUCAAGUGUAGUAUCUGUUCUUAUCAGUACAAUCCCUUUUAACACUGGUGAGAAAAGUAGGAUCACUGAACGUUACAAAUUAAUGUUCAACUUGGUAACUUUUUCAGUGGCCACUGUCUGGAUAAGGUUGAAACUAUGGUUUUAUAUUAGGUGAAUUUUA
Molecule: non-coding RNA, 185 nt
Organism: Fukomys damarensis (Damara mole-rat)
Lineage: Eukaryota; Metazoa; Chordata; Mammalia; Rodentia; Bathyergidae
Source: Rfam